RNAcentral lists this ribosomal RNA (381 nucleotides) under uncultured eukaryote. RNAcentral describes it as "partial 18S ribosomal RNA". It matches the Rfam family "Eukaryotic small subunit ribosomal RNA", at positions 592 to 976 of the family's 1831-position model. The record is from RNAcentral.
CAAUAGCGUAUAUUAAAGCUGUUGCGGUUAAAAAGCUCGUAGUUGGAUUUCUGUCAAGGACAACUGGUCCGCCCUCCGGGUGAGCACAUAGUUUGGUCUUGGCAUCUUGCUGGAAACUGUUGCUGCGCUUGGUUGUGUGGUGCAGCUUUCAGCACUUUCACUUUGAGGAAAUUGGAGUGUUUCAAGCAGGCACAUGCCUUUGGACACAGUAGCAUGGAAUAAUUAGAUUGGGCUUUUGCUCCAACUUGUUGGUUCCUGGAGCUGAGGUGAGAAUCAAUGGGGAUUGUUGGGGGCAUCCGAAUUUAGCCGUCAGAGGUGAAAUUUUUGGAUCUGCUAAAGACGGACAACUGCGAAAGCGUUUGCCCAGGAUGUUUUCAUUGA